GAUCUGGUUCAGGAUGAACGCUAGCGAUAGGCUAACACAUGCAAGUCGAGGGGCAGCACGGUGUAGCAAUACACUGGUGGCGACCGGCGUACGGGUGCGUAACACGUAUGCAACCUACCCGCUAUUGGGGGAUAACCCGGCGAAAGUCGGACUAAUACCCCAUAUUAUUCUUACCGGGCAUCCGGUAGGUCUGAAAGAUUUAUCGAUUGCGGAUGGGCAUGCGGAUGAUUAGCUAGUAGGUGGGGUAACGGCUCACCUAGGCGACGAUCAUUAGGGGUUCUGAGAGGAAGGUCCCCCACACUGGAACUGAGACACGGUCCAGACUCCUACGGGAGGCAGCAGUGAGGAAUAUUGGUCAAUGGGCGCUAGCCUGAACCAGCCAAGUCGCGUGAAGGAUGACAGAAUCUAUGGUUUGUAAACUUCUUUUGCAGGGGAGUAAAGUGCGACACGUGUGUUGUAUUGCAAGUACCCCUGCCGAAUAAGCAUCGGCUAACUCCGUGCCAGCAGCAGC
RNAcentral lists this ribosomal RNA (511 nucleotides) under uncultured bacterium. RNAcentral describes it as "bacterial SSU rRNA". It matches the Rfam family "Bacterial small subunit ribosomal RNA", at positions 15 to 518 of the family's 1533-position model. The record is from RNAcentral.